RNAcentral lists this ribosomal RNA (490 nucleotides) under uncultured bacterium. RNAcentral describes it as "partial 16S ribosomal RNA". It matches the Rfam family "Bacterial small subunit ribosomal RNA", at positions 30 to 507 of the family's 1533-position model. The record is from RNAcentral.
AUUGAACGCUGGCGGCAGGCCUAACACAUGCAAGUCGAACGGUAACAGGAAGCAGCUUGCUGCUUCGCUGACGAGUGGCGGACGGGUGAGUAAUGUCUGUGAAGCUGCCUGAUGGAGGGGGAUAACUACUGGAAACGGUAGCUAAUACCGCAUAAUGUCGCAAGACCAAAGAGGGGGACCUUCGGGCCUCUUGCCAUCGGCUGUGCCCAGAUGGGAUUAGCUUGUUGGUGGGGUAACGGCUCACCAAGGCGACGAUCCCUAGCUGGUCUGAGAGGAUGACCAGCCACACUGGAACUGAGACACGGUCCAGACUCCUACGGGAGGCAGCAGUGGGGAAUAUUGCACAAUGGGCGCAAGCCUGAUGCAGCCAUGCCGCGUGUAUGAAGAAGGCCUUCGGGUUGUAAAGUACUUUCAGCGGGGAAGAAGGGAGUAAAGUUAAUACCUGUGCUCAUUGACGUUACCCGAAGAAGAAGCACCGGCUAACUCCGUG